RNAcentral lists this transfer RNA (83 nucleotides) under Polyangiaceae bacterium. RNAcentral's name for it is "tRNA-Leu". It matches the Rfam family "tRNA". From Rfam's summary of the family: Transfer RNA (tRNA) molecules are approximately 80 nucleotides in length. Their secondary structure includes four short double-helical elements and three loops (D, anti-codon, and T loops). The record is from RNAcentral. Lineage: Bacteria; Pseudomonadati; Myxococcota; Polyangiales; Polyangiaceae.
GCCACCGUGGCGGAAUGGCAUACGCGACAGGCUGAGAACCUGUGCUCCCACGGAGUAUGAGGGUUCGACUCCCUCCGGUGGCA